UACAGAGGGUGCGAGCGUUAAUCGGAAUUACUGGGCGUAAAGCGCGCGUAGGCGGCUACUUAAGUCAGAUGUGAAAUCCCCGGGCUCAACCUGGGAACUGCAUCUGAUACUGGGUAGCUAGAGUUUUGGAGAGGGAAGUAGAAUUUCAGGUGUAGCGGUGAAAUGCAUAGAGAUCUGAAGGAAUACCAGUGGCGAAGGCGACUUCCUGGCCAAAAACUGACGCUGAGGUGCGAAAGCGUGGGUAGCAAACGGGAUUAGAAACCCUAGUAGUCC
This 273-nucleotide ribosomal RNA is filed under the name uncultured bacterium. Its description in RNAcentral is "partial 16S ribosomal RNA". It matches the Rfam family "Bacterial small subunit ribosomal RNA", at positions 524 to 796 of the family's 1533-position model. The record is from RNAcentral.